Acanthochromis polyacanthus (spiny chromis) is the source of this 8653-nucleotide long non-coding RNA. RefSeq lists it as uncharacterized. The transcript is spliced from 4 exons. The record is from RefSeq and is a predicted model, not a curated record. Lineage: Eukaryota; Metazoa; Chordata; Actinopteri; Pomacentridae.
CACUUUUUAGUCACUGGCUUUCAUCACUGUUUUUUGUCUUUUUAUAUUUUUAUUUUCAAGCUUUUAGAGGGGAACCACGUCCUCAGGGCUUCUAAACCCGGUAUUUUCAAGCUUUUAGAGGGGAACCUCGUCCUCAGGGCUUCCAAACCCGGUAUUUUCAAGCUUUUAGAGGGGAACCACGUCCUCAGGGCUUCUAAACCCAGUAUUUUCAAGCUUUUAGAGGGGAACCUCGUCCUCAGGGCUUCCAAACCCGGUAUUUUCAAGCUUUUAGAGGGGAACCUCGUCCUCAGGGCUUCCAAACCCAGUAUUUUCAAGCUUUUAGAGGUGAACUACGUCCUCAGGGCUUCUAAACCCGGUAUUUUCAAGCUUUUAGAGGGGAACCACGUCCUCAGGGCUUCUAAACCCAGUAUUUUCAACCACUCGUCAGCGAUCCAGGCUUAUACCAAACCGUCCAGGCUAUUUGCCAGCCUAAGAAACUGUUGCCUAACAGGGAUUACAUUACACUUAGGGUUGCAGAAUAGGCCCUCUGCUCUAUCCACCUUUUGGAGGGACUCCUAAACCCCCCGGGUUUUCUAACCCAGAACAGAGUAUCCAGCCAGAGAUUCUAUCCUCUGUGGAUCAGUGACUUUUUCCCUUUCCAUUAACCUUAGCGCUUCUUCAUCAUUUUCAUCCUUUUUAUUUCCAUUAACCUUAGCACUUCUUCAUCAUUUUCAUCAUUUUAUUUCUUCCAGAAGCACAUUCAAUUUUGUAUACUAGAACACACAGGAGGAAUUCUGACAACAGUUUUGGAAUAGCCAAUAGCAGACUUUGAUGUCAACAGGCGUCUGCUUACCUUUUAUUGGGCGCCCAAGUUGUCAGAAAGUCCUUUGUAUGUCCGUUGUUUGUUCAAAUGUACAUCUAUUGUCAAUUCUCCUUCUCCAUCCGGGUCACGGCACCAAAUUGUUGGAAAUCAGCCUAUCCUACAAUUAAACAAACAAAUAAAAUAUGUGUAAGGCUGUUUCCGCCCAGUUCUUUUGAUGGAGUAGUCAGGAGACUUCUUCUUAAAAUCAAAAGUAUUUAUUACAGCAAAAUUGAAUGUGAAUACAGAGCUCUGGGCCUGAAUCCUCUGUCCCUAACCGACAAUAAGUGUUCAGUCAGUUCGGAUGGAAUCAGACUGCUAACUGUUCCUGACCCAGUCUUCUUAUACUCUAACAGUGUGUAUAGCUAUCUAUCAAGGCCGGCCGCCCCUUCCGAUGCUGUGUUGUUCCGCUGUCCUCUGUCACAGCUGAUGUUUUGUCAUUACGCUCACGUAGGAAUGACUUCGCUUCUGCAAAGCAAGAUUAGAAACUGCACAUACAACUCGCUCAUGUUCUUUACUGAUUACAGCUUACGUCAAAAACUAUCUGUACCUUUAUUAUCAAAAACUGUCUGUACUUUGAUUAUCAAUCACUUUAUGUCUUGAUCAUCCUUGGUUUCAAUCACAUGAGUAAUAAGUAAAAUAAAGCUGGACUUAUCUUCUUUGUUUCAUUACAGUCACACCGUGGUAAUGAUGCUCUUCACCUUCCUAUUCCUCAGAACCAAUACAACUCUUUAAUAUGCACACUGAGCAAUUAUAAAACACACCAUUUCCCACAGUACCCCCGGACAUCCAACAUUUUCUGAGCCAUGGUGAGUUCUAUUCCACUUUGCAGUCUACAGGGAGGCAGGGCCGUGCGGCCCAAUAGGCAGAAUAGUCAAAUGCUAGGGCCACAAAGCCAGCCGGGGGGCGUCACCGCAGGUUUUUUUGUUUGUUUGUUUGUUUGUUUGUUUGUUUUAGAUGAAGAAGAAGAAAAUAGGCACCGGUAGAUCCGUGUUGACAGUGACUGAUACACCGAACUUCCAAAAUGAAGAGGCAAAAGCCCUCUGGAGCUCAUUUCAGAAAAAAACGUAAAGGAGAUGAGGAGAAGCAAGAAAGAAGUCGAGAUUCACCUCUGAAAUAUUUAUCUUCCACUCCUGCCACUACUGGAUCAACAGCAGCCUCCACAUCCACCUUGGUACCCAGUGAUGGAGGGCUCUCUGACACCCAACCUGGAAGCAGUGAAAACAUACCCACAGUCCCCUCUACAUCAGACCAGCCUGUUAUUGAUUAACAGGCUGGUGCACCUAUAGGUUUCCCAAAGACUAUGGGUUGAGGAAGAAGUGGGAAGCAGCUCUGAGGAGAGAGGGGUUUGCUGUAAAUAUAUAGCAGCCCAGAGAGAGAUAAUUGUAAUUGUGUUGUUUAUUGUAAAUGCAAAUAAACUAUCCUGUUCUAGUCUAGUUCCUUGUUAUAUGUAAAUAACUGCCUAUAUAUAUACACACACACACACACACACACACACAGUAUACAGUGGGUACGGAAAGUAUUCAGACCCCUUGAACUUUUUCACUCUGUGUCAUUGCAGCCAUUUGCCAAAAUCAAAAAAGUUCAUUUUAUUUCUCAUUAAUGUACACUCAGCACCCCAUCUUGACAGAAAAAAAAAACAGAAAUGUAGAAAUUUUUGCAAAUGUAUUCAAAAAGAAAAACUGAAAUAUCACAUGGUCAGAAGUAUUCAGAGCCUGUGCUCAGUACUGAGUAGAAGCUCCUUUUCAGCUCGUACAGCCAUGAGUCUUCUUGGGAAUGAUGCAACAAGUUUUUCACACCUGGAUUUGGGGAUCCUCUGCCAUUCUUCCUUGCAGAUCGUCUCCAGUUCUGUCAGGUUGGAUGGUGAACGUUGGUGGACAGACAUUCUGAGGUCUCUCCAGAGAUGCUCAAUUGGGUUUAGGUCAGGGCUCUGGCUGGGCCAGUCAAGAACGGUCACAGAGUUGUUGUGAAGCCACUCCUUUGUUAUUUUAGCUGUGUGCUUUGGGUCAUUGUCCUGUUGAAAGGUGAACCUUCGGCCCAGUCUGAGGUCCUGAGCACUCUGGAAGAGGUUUUCCUCCAGGAUAUCUCUGUACUUGGCCGCAUUCAUCCUUCCUUCAAUUGCAACCAGUCGUCCUGUCCCUGCAGCUGAAAAACACCCCCCCCCCCCCCACAGCAUGAUGCUCCCACCACCAUGUUUCACUGUAGGGAUUGUAUUGGGCAGGUGAUGAGCAGUGCCUGCUUUUCUCCACACAUACCGCUUAGAAUUAACACCAAAAAGUUCAAUCUUGGUCUCAUCAGACCAGAGAAUCUUAUUUCUCAUAGUCUGGGAGUCCUUCAUGUGUUUUUUUUCAAACUCUAUGCGGCUUUCAUGUGUCUUGCACUGAGGAGAGGCUUCCAUCGGGCCACUCUGCCAUAAAGCCCCGACUGGUGGAGGGCUGCAGUGAUAGUUGACUUUGUGGAACUUUCUCCUAUCUCUCGACUGCAUCUCUGGAGCUCAGCCACAGUGAUCUUUGGCUUCUUCUUUACCUCUCUCACCAAGGCUCUUCUCCCACCAUUGCUCAGUUUGGCUGGACGGCCAGGUCUAGGAAGAGUUGUGGUCGUCCCAAACUUCUUCCAUUGGAGGAUUAUGGAGGCCACUGUGCUCUGAGGAACCUUGAGUGCUGCAGAAAUUCUUUUGUAACCUUGUCCAGAUCUGUGCCUUGCCACAGUUCUGUCUCUGAGCUCCUUGGGCAGUUCCUUCCACCUCAUGAUUCUCAUUUGCUCUGACAUGCACUGUGAGCUGUAAGGUCUUAUAUAGACAGGUGUGUGCCUUUCCUAAUCAAGUCCAAUCAGUUUAAUUAAACACAGCUGGACUCCAAUAAAGAAGCAGAACCAUCUCGAGGAGGAUCAGAAGAAAUGGACAGCAUGUGAGUUAAAUAUGAAUGUCGCUGCAAAGGCUCUGAAUACUUCUGACCAUGUGAUAUUUCAGUUUUUAUUUUUUAAUACAUUUGCAAAAAUUUCUACAUUUCUGUUUUUUCUGUCAAGAUGGGGUGCUGAGUGUACAUUAAUGAGAAAUAAAAUGAACUUUUUUGAUUUUGGCAAAUGGCUGCAAUGACACAGAGUGAAAAAUUUCAAGGGGUCUGAAAACUUUCCCUACCCACUGUGUAUAUAUCUAUAUCUAUCUAUAGAUAGAUAGAUAGAUAGAUAGAUAGAUAGAUAGAUAUAAAUUAAUAUUAAUAAAUAAAUAGAUUACAUUUGCAAGUAAAUGUUUUGAUCUCAAAACAUUUUCUACAUGUCUAAAUAUUUACAUUUAUAUAUGCAAUGGCUGAACUGAAAAGAUUCCCUGGCCUUUGGACCUAAAUAAUAAGAUAACUAAAAUUGCAGGCUACAUUUGUAGGAAGCCUUUUUCUGUGUUUGUUUUUUUCAGAUCAAAUAUUCUCUAUCAAUAGCACAUGUCAUGAGACAGCUCCAUCAAUGUCAUCCAGGAGUAUCCAGGAUGAAAGAAUUGGCUAGGAGUUAUGUGUGGUGGCCACAGAUGGACAAGGAACUGGAGGAGAUGGUCAAGGGUUGUGCAACAUGUCAGAAGCACCGUAACCUACCUGCACCAGCUCCAUUACACCCUUGGGACUGGCCUGACAAGCCCUGGAGUCGUAUUCAUGUGGAUUAUGCAGGACUGUUUAUGGGAAAUGUUUUUUGUGCUCUCAGAUGCACAUUCAAAAUGGAUGGAUGUGUAUCCAUUGACCUCUGCCACUUCAGCUGCUACAAUUGAGUGCCUGCAUACCAGUUUCAGUAACCAUGGACUGCCUGAGUUGUUAGUGUCUGAUAAUGGCACUUGUUUCACCAGCACAGAGUUUAAGGACUUUCUAAAGAAAAAUGGUAUCCGCCAUGUGACCUCUGCACCUUACAUGCCUCCAGUAAUGGGUUAGCAGAGAGAGGGGUACAGACAUUCAAGAGGAUGAUGAAAAAACAUCCAGAAGGAACACUGACAACCAAGGUAGCCAGAGUUUUAUUCAGCUACAGAGUGACUCCGCACACCACAACAGGUCUUUCGCCGGCGGAGCUACUUCUUGGAAGGAAACUACGUUGCACCCUGGACUCAAUUCAUCCAGACCUGAACAGGAAAGUGCAGAAAUAUCAAGAAAGACAAAUAAGACAUCACGACAAAAAGGCAAAAGGAUGUGGGUUCAAACCUGGUCACUCUGUAGUGACUCAGAACUUCAGUCUGGGACCGAAGUGGAUUCCAGGAAUCAUAGAGUCUGUGACUGGACCAGUGUCAUACACAGUGAUGUUGGGUGAUGGGAGAGUUGCUAGGCGACAUUUGGACCAGAUCCAUGCUCACCACCCUGGAUCAGUGAACAGCAACGAGGAACAUGAAGCUAUCCUACCUCAGAUCAGUCAGGCUGUCACAGAGGAGGAGAUCUGUCUGGAUGCUGAUGAGGUGUUGGUCAGUGGUGAUAGAUCAGAGAAGCCAGUAACCUCAGAUGCUGCAAGAAUCUCAGACAGAUAAACUGACUGAGACACAGACAAGUCCAGUGAGGAGGUCAAAAAGGGAAACUAAGAAGCCAAGUUAUCUUAAAGACUUCCAGCUGAACUAAGAGAGACAGACAUUAACAGUGUUAAAAAAAAACAAACAGAAACAAAACAAAACAUGGUGUUACAAUGUUCCUGUGUGAUUUAUUAAAUCUGCUUAAGAGGGGAGGGAUGUUGUAACUGGGAAAUACUGGUGUUGCAGGAGUGUCCACUAGGUGGCAAUGUUACCUCGGGUGUCGCUGGUAGUCAGUAGGAAGUUGCAGAGCAAGGACUGUAUCUUUUUUUUCUGUUGUUGUUGUUGUUGUUUUAUUUCAAAAAGUCACAGACAACAUCCAACAUCAACAUGAUAUUGAAGCAUACAGUGACAGAGUUAACAAAAAUCAUUUUGAAAAAAAGGAAGAGAAGAAAGAAAAGAUAGAAAACAAAAACAAACCACAAAAACAAAAAAGAAAAAAAACAGCUGAGCAAAUAUAACAUUUAUAGCAAAUUAAUUUUUUUUUACAAAUGUUAACAGUUUUUAUUGCUUUCUGGUUAUCAGAUGGGGCUAUUGACUUCAAGUAAUAUUCAAAUUCUUUAUGGAAGACAAGAUAAUUUUGCUUUUGAUUACUGAAUUUUGCCUUAUGAAUAUGAAAUUUUACCAAUAUUAAUAUGAGAUUGAUAAUAAAGGCCUUGUCUUUUUCAUAUCCAUCCUGUGCAUGAACUCCAAAAAUGAUGUGUUUGUAGAGCAAAUCAAUCUGCAGAUUUAGUUUUUCUAUACAAAAUUUUUAAAUUUCCUUCCAUAUUUUUCUGCUGUAACUACAAUAAUAAAAAAUGUGGAACUGUUUCUGGCUGUUCAGAGCAAAAAGAACAUCUUACAUCUAUAUCCUGUUUGAACUUAGUCAUAGAAUGUUUUGUGGGAUAGCUUUUAUGCAAGAUUUUAAAGGAAAUUUCCUUAACUUUGUUUGUUAACAUGAAUUUGUGAGGUAAAAGCCAAACCUGAGACCAGAGAUAUUAUUAAUAAAAGAGUUCCAGUCAUGGAUAACAUCAGGUUUUGUCGUUUCUCUUUGGAACAGUGCACGUAUAGCUCUGUUGCUGUUCUUUGCCGUCCCAAAGCAUAUUUAGCCACAAUAAGUGUCACAUGGAUUAACAACAUGUAUAUCUGCUGCAAGAGAGGAGGCAGUGCACAGAGUCACAACAGCAGCUGGAAUGGAGCUAAUGACCUUUGGAAACUCUUCAAGUGUUGAAGGGAAUGGAGACUUUUCACAGAAUUCAGUGUCAUUCAUAAAAUGGCCACUAGGGGUCAGAAGCUGUCAGACUAAGUAAAUUUUGUUGUUAAAGCAGCUAUUGAGAAAGAUGCUUUUAUUUUGAUGCAGUAUAUCCCCAUUAUUCCAGAGAUAAUACCGAUGUGGAGAGAAAUUGUGCUUGUAGGCCGUUUUCCACGACAACAAAACCUGUUUGUGAAAACUGGAUAAUUUUAGGGGAAUCUUGUUUAUUUGGUAGCUACAAACCAACAGAAAAGGGAGUCCUCCAGUUUGAUGAAAUACACAUUUAGGAAUAAAGUUCUAUAAAGAUGCAUCAUUUUUAAGAAAGAUUUGAACCAUUUGAUCUGAAGAACAUUGUUUAGAAUUGAAAAAUCAACAAAGUGGAGGCCUCCAUUUUUGUAGUUGUUCAGAAUUCCAGAUUUUCUGAUCUAGUGUGUACGGUUUUUCCACAGAAAAUGAACAAGCAUCUUAUCAAUAAAUGUGACAGUUUUACAGUCCAGUGCCAGUGAGGAGGCGGCAUACACAAGUCUGGAAAUUCCCUCAGCUUUUGACAGAAGAGUUCACCUUUAAGUGAGAAGUCUCUUUGUAGCCAAAGCUUCCAUUUAUUCUGCACCUUUUUAAUCCUUGGCUCAAAGUUGAGAUGGCAUCUCUCUCACUGAUUUUUAGUUCCAGUAAUCCCUAAAUAGUUAACCUUACUCUUUACUCGUCUAUCAUCAAUUGAGGUUAUAUCAGAACUUUAGAGAGUGAAUAGCUCACACUUAUUUAGGUUUAAGUACAAACCUGAUGCUUUAGAAAACAUCUGGAUUGCAUUAAUUGCAGGCUUUAUCUGUAGGGCAUUCUUUAAAAAUAAUUCUGUAUCAUCAGCCAACUGACUUCAAAGUCUGCUUCUAGCAGCAAUAGAGAUGCCUUCCAACUGACAGAAUUUGACAAAACAUUUGAGCAACAACCAGGAAGAGGUAAACUGAGACAGGGCAGCCCUGUCUUAGCCCUCUUUCCAAACAAAAUCUCUGAGUUGUGCCAUUACUCAGUUUUACCGAGCUAUUGGCGCCAGCAUAGAAUGUUUUCAUCACACUGCAAAAGUAUGGCCCAAAACCAAAGCUGUUAAGACCAGAAAAAAUAAACGAGUGUUCAACUGCAUCAAAGGCUUUGUGAAAACCUAAAAAUAAAACUGUCAUCCCAAAUAAGGUCAGCAUCGUCUAUGAGGUCUAAAACUAACCUAAUGUUAUUGAAAAUAUGCCUGUUACUCAUAACCCCAGACUGAUUCUCAUCGAUAAUAGAAUUAAGAACAUGUUAAAUCUUUUAGCAAAAACAAGAGCAAGAACUUUAUAAUCAGUGUUCAAUAAUGAAAUUGGUCUCCAAUUAUCAACAAAGAGAAGGUCCUUUUUUGGUUUAGGAACUAAAGUAAUCAAGCCUUGUGUCAUAUACUGACAGUCAAUAUAAUCUUUGAGGUAGAAAUGUACCCAGAAUUCUACUUGUAGGGGGGUUGUAAUUAUUCAUUGUGGAUUUACUGAUGAUCUAGUGCCCUGGUAGUUGAGAUAAUGAUGAGUUGUCAUUUUGUCAUGAUUCAUUGCACAUGGGUUGGUCACUUUGCAAAAGUGAACCAAAUACACACCAAGCAAUACUCAGUGAGUAUCUGCAUAAUGUGAGAAUGGGUUUGAAGGCCUAUAUAAAGGCCCAAAAAAGGCCACCAUUGUUAGUCCAGUGAACAGCAUCAUGCCGCGUCUAUCACAUGAACAACGUCUCCGGGCACUGGGUAUGGUGGAGGCCGCUUUGAGCUACAGUGAUGUAUCCAGGCGUAUGGGCUGUUCCCAACCCACAAUCAGAAGCCUGGUCCAAAGCAUGCGCCGACGGAUUGCUGCCUGCAUCCAAGCAGAUGGAGGCCAUACUCGGUAUUGACUGUUGUGACUUUGUGUUUGGCAGGUGCCGUUUUCUUUUGUGAAAUUCUUUAUUUUGAAAUAAUUCUUGAAACUUUAGAUUUUUGUUUCUGUAUGCCAAUAUGCUAAACAAAUGAUUCAGGUGAAGAAAAUCCAGUUUGGGGCUUCAAAAUAAAAAUUAUGUUGAAAAA